RNAcentral lists this ribosomal RNA (497 nucleotides) under uncultured bacterium. RNAcentral describes it as "partial 16S ribosomal RNA". It matches the Rfam family "Bacterial small subunit ribosomal RNA", at positions 28 to 507 of the family's 1533-position model. The record is from RNAcentral.
GAUGAACGCUGGCGGCGUGCCUAAUACAUGCAAGUCGAGCGAACAGACGAGGAGCUUGCUCCUCUGACGUUAGCGGCGGACGGGUGAGUAACACGUGGAUAACCUACCUAUAAGACUGGGAUAACUUCGGGAAACCGGAGCUAAUACCGGAUAAUAUAUUGAACAGCAUGGUUCAAUAGUGAAAGACGGUUUUGCUGUCACUUAUAGAUGGAUCAGCGCCGCAUUAGCUAGUUGGUAAGGUAACGGCUUACCAAGGCAACGAUGCGUAGCCGACCUGAGAGGGUGAUCGGCCACACUGGAACUGAGACACGGUCCAGACUCCUACGGGAGGCAGCAGUAGGGAAUCUUCCGCAAUGGGCGAAAGCCUGACGGAGCAACGCCGCGUGAGUGAUGAAGGUCUUCGGAUCGUAAAACUCUGUUAUUAGGGAAGAACAAAUGUGUAAGUAACUAGGCACGUCUUGACGGUACCGAAUCAGAAAGCCACGGCUAACUACGUG